Molecule: ribosomal RNA, 253 nt
Filed under: uncultured bacterium
Lineage: Bacteria
Description: partial 16S ribosomal RNA
Rfam family: Bacterial small subunit ribosomal RNA
Source: RNAcentral
UACGUAGGGGCCGAGCGUUGUCCGGAGUUACUGGGCGUAAAGCGCGCGCAGGCGGCUCGUCAAGCCUGACGUGAAAGCCCCCGGCUCAACCGGGGAGGGUCGUCGGGGACUGGCGGGCUUGAGGUCGGCAGGGGUUGGUGGAAUUCCCGGUGUAGUGGUGAAAUGCGUAGAGAUCGGGAGGAACACCCGUGGCGAAGGCGGCCAACUGGGCCGGACCUGACGCUGAGACGCGAAGGCGUGGGGAGCGAACGGG